UUGCACGCUGGCGGCAUGCUUUACCCCUGCCAGUCGCACGGUAACAGCACUUCGGUGGCUGACGAGUGGCGAACGGGUGAGUAAUACAUCGGAACGUGCCUAGUAGUGGGGGAUAACUACUCGAAAGAGUAGCUAAUACCGCAUGAGAUCUAAGGAUAACAGCAGGGGACCUUCGGGCCUUGCGCUACUAGAGCGGCUGAUGGCAGAUUAGGUAGUUGGUGGGAUAAAAGCUUACCAAGCCGACGAUCUGUAGCUGGUCUGAGAGGACGACCAGCCACACUGGGACUGAGACACGGCCCAGACUCCUACGGGAGGCAGCAGUGGGGAAUUUUGGACAAUGGGCGCAAGCCUGAUCCAGCAAUGCCGCGUGCAGGAUGAAGGCCUUCGGGUUGUAAACUGCUUUUGUACGGAACGAAAAGCCCUCUUCUAAUACAGGAGGGUCAUGACGGUACCGUAAGAAUAAGCACCGGCUAACUACGUG
RNAcentral lists this ribosomal RNA (481 nucleotides) under uncultured bacterium. RNAcentral's name for it is "partial 16S ribosomal RNA". It matches the Rfam family "Bacterial small subunit ribosomal RNA", at positions 30 to 507 of the family's 1533-position model. The record is from RNAcentral.